UUUAAGCGUAGCUAUAAGUUUCCGUAUUCAAUUUUAAUUAUUCGUUUUAUUUAACUUUUUUUGAAAAAAUUUAAAAAACAUAAGUCACAAAUAAAAUACUAUUUAUGUUUUAUCAUCUAAUAACAACAAAAAUACUAUUUUUUUUAAAUAAAACGAACCAUCAAAAUUAGACAUAAAAACUCAUGACUGUCUUUUAA
Molecule: microRNA precursor, 197 nt
Filed under: Oryza rufipogon (brownbeard rice)
Lineage: Eukaryota; Viridiplantae; Streptophyta; Magnoliopsida; Poales; Poaceae
Description: MIR812 microRNA precursor family
Rfam family: MIR812 microRNA precursor family
Source: Rfam by way of RNAcentral